Molecule: long non-coding RNA, 5633 nt
Filed under: Panax ginseng (ginseng)
Lineage: Eukaryota; Viridiplantae; Streptophyta; Magnoliopsida; Apiales; Araliaceae
Description: long non-coding RNA (PGIN_LNC011331)
Source: RNAcentral
AUCUUUCUCCCCCCCUAAGUUUAAAAACCCAAAAUCAAAGAAAACAUAAGACUCAACUAAAUAACUCAAAAUUAACAAAAUGUGACUAUGCUUUAUAAUUAUGAUAUAAACACAGAAAUUAAACUUGAAACACUCCAAAUUGACAAAAAUAUCCAACAGUAAACUUGAAAUGGGAUCAAAAGUUGGAUGGUCUAAACUAAUCAAGAAUACAAAAACACCCAUGACCCAGCAUAAAAGGGUAAGUUUAAGUAGCAAAUACAAAUUAUGAAGCAACAAUGAAAACUUCUGAAAUAGCAUAAAAAUCUAUUACAUGAAUCAGAUUAUUCUACAAGGCAACUACAGAAUCCAUAACUAAACAAAACCCAUAAGCUGGAAUGCAAUUUUAUUGACCCGGAAUCAAAAAAAUUGCAAAAUUUACAAAUCAUAGACGCACUGUUCUGUUCAACAGAGGAACUCUGUCACUCCCAACGCCAUGAUGAUGCCCCUCCAUUAUUUGGUUUUCCAAAUUCCCGGAGAAUUGGGAAUAGGAGGUUCAACUUUUAGGGAUCACUAAAAGUCUUACUUUUGAGAUUUCUUGGGCACCAGGGCUGGAUUUGAGCUUCUCAUCCCUUUUCUCGGUAAUGUGCUUUGCUGAGUCCAAAAUAGCUUGUCAUUGAAUACAUCGAUGGAUUAAUACCUUGAAUUUUUAUUUUUUUUAACUUUGGGGAUUGUUUUUUCAUUUUUUUUAAUCAGGUGAUUUAACUUUUAAUUUUUUCCCACUUUGAGAAUUAUCUUUUCAAUUUUUUUAAUUAGGAGAUUAAUUUUUUAUUACGUCUAAUUGAUAGUGUUACAUCAAAAAAUUGAUGACAAAGACAACGACUAGUGACUAAAAAAUUCUUAUGUGUAAUAUUGAGUCUCAUUUUAACAUUUAUUCAAUUAAUUUUUUGUAUAAAAAAGGUAAAUAUAAUACCAUUAUUAAUUUUUUAAAUUUAAUUUAAUGACAAUUUUACCCUUUUUGGAAUAUACAAAAUUAAUUAUAUUGAUUAUUGAAAAUUAUGAAAUAAAUUUAAAGCUCAAGGUAUUAAUUUAUAUUUCGGCCUUAAUUUUUUAUACCAAAAAACAUAAAAUUGUCAUUAUAUUGAUUAUUGAUGAUUAUGAAAUAACAAGAUUGUAAGUAGUAGUACAUUUAUAUAUUUUAACAUAUUUAUCAUUAUAUUAAUUAUUGAUGAUUUUUUAAGUUGAGUUUGUAAUGUAUUGAAUUUACUUUAAAAAAAUAAUAAUGGUCUUAUAUUUAUCUUUUUUGGUAUAAAAAUUUAAUAGAAUAAAUGUUAAAAUGAGACACAAUAUUACACAUAAGUAUUUUUUUAGCCACAUGUCGCUGUCAUGUCAUCAAUUUCUGACAUGGAUCAAUUAAACUUAAUCAGGAAAAAAAAAUUAAAGUUUAAUCCCCUAACUAAAAAAAUUAAGAAGAUAAUCCCCAAAGAGAAAAAAUUAAGAGUUUAAUCUCUUAAUUGAAAAAAUUGAGAAAACAAUUCCCAAAGUAAAAAAAAAUAUUUAAAAGUUCAGGGUAUUAAUCCAUAUAUAUUUAGGCAAAUACAUAAUAACAAUACAGAAUUAUUAAGCAAAUAUUUUAACCACUGAACUCUAAGGAUAUCAAUACACAAAUAUAAAAAACAAGUACCGAGUCAUUUUGGUUGAUCCCAAGUCGACUAACCAAAAUAACUAAGUAAGUUAAACCAAUAAUUUUUAUUUUUUAUUUUAAUGUUAUAUAUUCAUUGAUUUCUCACAUUUAUAUACAAAUUUAUUGUAUACUAGUUAUGUCUCGUGCCUCCGACAUUAUAUGAACGAUGAGAUUUAUCCCAAAUUUUAAACGAUUUAGAUGAUUUAUUAGGGUUAGCGGUAAAUUCAAAAUCACAUUGUUAGAUUAGAUAGAUUUCAUGCCUACCCUACCAUGUCCUACUGUCUCAAUUUACAUAGAAUUCCACACAAACAACAACAGGAAGCAACUACAAGUCCACGACCAUUUAUUAAAUCCCAUAUGCAACGAACCUAUAAGAUUUUGUAACUAAAACAUCUAUAAACCACAGCUUGACAAGAGCCAAUUAAUAAAGAAAACAUAUAUUUUCACAUAUUAAAAUAAUAUUUUUAUAUGAGUCUCACAUAAAAAGAUAAAUAUUCGUUUUCAUGUCUAUCCAUACUUUGUACGAAUUAUCAAACUUGUUAGUUUAGAAGUCGGAAUAGUGCAAUGCAUUUGCAAAAAGAAAAUAAUAUAUAUUACGAAUAUUUAUGUAGAUUUUUUCAAUAUCAGAUAUAUAGAUAUGUAUUAGUAGUAGUGAUAAUCGUUUUUGAGUGAUGUUAAAUGGAACUUUUUAUAAUUUUAUCCAAUCUUAAUAAGUUUCAUAAUUAUAAUUCAUCAUAAAUUUAUCGCAAUACAUAGCAUAACACUUUGCAAAAUUAAAAAAUAUAACAAGUGACUUUAUUUAUUCACUCUUUUAUUAUAAUUUAUCAUGGUAAUUCAUUUUUUAAUUAUAUAUAUAAUGUGAUGUGCCAACUUAUAAUCUUACUAAUUUAUAUAUUAAUAUAUAUAUAUAUAUAUAUAUAUAUAUAUAUAUAUAUAUAUAUAUAUAUAUGUCAGCAAUUAUAAUUUGUAAAAAAAAUUCACAAUGAAUAACAUGACUUGAUAACUAAUUUUUUUAAUUACAUGUGUAAUGUGAUGUGCUAAUUUAUAAUAUUACUAAUUUAUGCAUUGACAUAUGUAGCAAUUAAAAUUAGACAAGAAAAAUUGUAAUAAUUGCAGGAUUCCUAAAUUAUUGAAAGGUACGAUUAUAUUUUAGUCAAAAGUAUACAUUAAGUGAUCAAUAAUGUCUUACCUAGUUACCUUCAUGCAUGCAUAGCCACAUCUUUUCUCAUAAGAGAGAACGGAUUGAAUCGGUAUAUAUUUUUAAGGAAUAAUUAAGAAAAAUUCUAUGCAGAUAUGAAAGUUGAAAAUGAGUGAUUUACAAUUUCACUUAUUUAUAUUUUGAUUUGAAUUGAUUCUCCGUCGUUGAAUUCGGCCUUGUAGACUUCAUAGUUCGUAGUCUUGGAGAUUGAUCUGGCUCCACGAUUGAUUCUCCGAUGCGUAACCACUAGGAAAUCGAUGAAGUCGUCGGACUGAAGUUUGUGGCUGGGUUUUCUUUAAAGGAGAUUUAUGUGUUGGAUAAAAGAUGAUGAAAAAAAUCUUAAUUGGAUGAAUUUGUUAAAAAAUUAAUUACUUAUUUGGUUUUUACGUUUCUGUCCUUUUAGUUCCAUAAAAUGAUUUAAAAUGAGUGUUUGUUUGCCACAUAAGCACAUGCAUAUCGCCGGUCAUAAUCACGUCAUCAAUUUAUGACGUGACAACUUCAAUUGAACCAAAGUAAAAAAAUUGAUAGUUUAAUGACCUGAUUGAAAAAAAUUAAAAGAUCAAUCACCGAAGUGAAAAAAGGUCAAUAGUUUAGGGUAAUAAUUUAUAUUUAAGCCUUAAAAUAUAGAAAAGUUACUAUGAGAAAAUAAUAAUUAAUAUAUUAAAAAGUGUAAUAUAUAUUACAAAAUAUAUUAAUGAUUAAACUUUAAUUAAUAAUUUUAUUUUAGAUAGAAAAUUUUAGUUAAUCAAUUUUAAAAAUAAAUUUCACUUGUAUAUAGUUAUAUAAUUUAAGUUAACGUUAAAAAUAAAAAAUAAUUUACAAAAAUUUAUGUCAUAUAGAAUUUCUUAAAAACCAAGUUUAGACUUUCAUGUUUCACACAAUUUUUAACUCUAAAUAUAUAACUAUGUAUAAAUUCGAAUGAUUGAAAAAAAAAACUAAAUAUUAAAUUUGAAAUUUAUAUAAACUAAAUAUUAAAUUAAAAAAAAAGCAUAUUAACUAACAUUCAAUUGCAUGUCUUUGAUGGUUGUUUAUUUGAGCAAAGUUUGUAGUGAUUCUAUAAUAAAUUAAAUUAAAAUUUAGAAAAAUAUUUUAUAAUCAUUCUAUAUAUAUAAUAAAUAAAGAAUUAAAAAUAAUUUAUUUUAAAAAAUAAAUUCGGUCUCGGCACGGGGCACUUAGCUAGUAUUAUUAAGUACAAAGUAUAUAUAUUUACUAGGACUAAAUACACUUAUAUUAUACUAAGUUUCACCUAUAUAAUUUGACCCCUACAGUAAUUGAGCUUACAAAUCACUACAUAAAAUACCGAUUACAUACAAUGUUGACCCAAAAAUUAUUUUAUGAUAAAAAUAAUCGAAAUACUCCAUUUGUUGGCAACUUAUUCGAUUUUAUACGGUUUGACUUCAUAUCGAUUUUUUUAUACAUGAUAAUAUGUAGAUUACAUUUUUAUAUGCGUAUAAAUAUAUAGUAUUUUAAUUAAAAUUAAGUAAAUACUUUAAAGAACACUCAAAGAAAAAAUUAUUCGUUCUAAAAAAGAAAAAUUAACUUCCUUUCUUCGUUGUUCUAAAUAAAAGAAGUUUUUUGGUGAUCCUUUGUUCACAUUCUAAAAAAAACUCUCUUUCGUUUUUUUUAAAAAGCCUUUCCAUAUGCUCCUCAUGGCAAACCUUAACUACAUCAAAACCCCAAUCAAAAUAAAAGCAUUAAGCAUGAUAAAACUCCUACUCAAUAUCAGUGGUGGAGCUAGGAUUUUUUUUGCAGUGGGAUCGAAAUUAUUACUGAGUUAUAAAUAAUUUGGCNNNNNNNNNNNNNNNNNNNNNNNNNNNNNNNNNNNNNNNNNNNNNNNNNNNNNNNNNNNNNNNNNNNNNNNNNNNNNNNNNNNNNNNNNNNNNNNNNNNNCAAUGCAUCAUUAAUAGACCAAGUAUAAUCCAACUAACCAGUGAUAGUAUUCUCAAAAAGCCCACAUUUGCAGCCUGAAAAUUCAGGUAUAAAGUUAGCACCUUGUACACACUAUUAUAAUAGUCACUAAGCCAUAAAAUUAGAUUUUCAAGAGUCCGCAAAUACCUGUACUGCAUCUCCAUGCUCAAGGUCUGUAACCUGACCAUUUUCAGCUGCAUCAUUUAUCUUUCUCCCCCCCUAAGUUUAAAAACCCAAAAUCAAAGAAAACAUAAGACUCAACUAAAUAACUCAAAAUUAACAAAAUGUGACUAUGCUUUAUAAUUAUGAUAUAAACACAGAAAUUAAACUUGAAACACUCCAAAUUGACAAAAAUAUCCAACAGUAAACUUGAAAUGGGAUCAAAAGUUGGAUGGUCUAAACUAAUCAAGAAUACAAAAACACCCAUGACCCAGCAUAAAAGGGUAAGUUUAAGUAGCAAAUACAAAUUAUGAAGCAACAAUGAAAACUUCUGAAAUAGCAUAAAAAUCUAUUACAUGAAUCAGAUUAUUCUACAAGGCAACUACAGAAUCCAUAACUAAACAAAACCCAUAAGCUGGAAUGCAAUUUUAUUGACCCGGAAUCAAAAAAAUUGCAAAAUUUACAAAUCAUAGACGCACUGUUCUGUUCAACAGAGGAACUCUGUCACUCCCAACGCCAUGAUGAUGCCCCUCCAUUAUUUGGUUUUCCAAAUUCCCGGAGAAUUGGGAAUAGGAGGUUCAACUUUUAGGGAUCACUAAAAGUCUUACUUUUGAGAUUUCUUGGGCACCAGGGCUGGAUUUGAGCUUCUCAUCCCUUUUCUCGGUAAUGUGCUUUGCUGAGUCCAAAAUAGCUUGUCAUUGAAUACAU